GACGAACGCUGGCGGCGUGCUUAACACAUGCAAGUCGAACGGUGACGAGGAGCUUGCUCCUCUGAUCAGUGGCGAACGGGUGAGUAACACGUGAGCAACCUGCCCCAGACUCUGGGAUAACAGUUGGAAACAGCUGCUAAUACCGGAUACGAGACGGAGAGGCAUCUCUACCGUCUGGAAAGUUUUUCGGUCUGGGAUGGACUCGCGGCCUAUCAGCUAGUUGGUGAGGUAAUGGCUCACCAAGGCGACGACGGGUAGCCGGCCUGAGAGGGCGACCGGCCACACUGGGACUGAGACACGGCCCAGACUCCUACGGGAGGCAGCAGUGGGGAAUAUUGCACAAUGGGCGAAAGCCUGAUGCAGCGACGCCGCGUGAGGGAUGACGGCCUUCGGUGGUAACCUACUUUCAGUCAGGAGAAGACGAAGUAGACGGUACUGCAGAAGAAGCACCGGCUAACUAACGUGCCAGCACGCGCGUAAAGU
RNAcentral lists this ribosomal RNA (483 nucleotides) under uncultured bacterium. RNAcentral's name for it is "bacterial SSU rRNA". It matches the Rfam family "Bacterial small subunit ribosomal RNA", at positions 28 to 525 of the family's 1533-position model. The record is from RNAcentral.